RNAcentral lists this ribosomal RNA (1271 nucleotides) under uncultured fungus. Its description in RNAcentral is "eukaryotic LSU rRNA". The stretch from base 658 to 1271 matches the Rfam family "Eukaryotic large subunit ribosomal RNA", at positions 1 to 617 of the family's 3401-position model. Lineage: Eukaryota; Fungi. The record is from RNAcentral.
GAUCAUUAUUGAAACAUUGUAAAGGAGAGUUGAGCUGGUCCUUCGAGGGCAAGUGCUCGCUGUUCUUUCAAUCUUCAUCCACCUGUGCACUUUUUGUAGAGAGUCUGAGAAACUGGAGCUUUUUAAGUAAGGUUCUAGAUAUUGGGCUCUUUAUGUUUUUAUACACACUAAUUGUAUGUUUGUGAAUGUCUUUAACAAGGGACUUAACUGGACCUUUUAAAAACUAUACAACUUUCAGCAACGGAUCUCUUGGCUCUCGCAUCGAUGAAGAACGCAGCGAAAUGCGAUAAGUAAUGUGAAUUGCAGAAUUCAGUGAAUCAUCGAAUCUUUGAACGCACCUUGCGCCUCUUGGUAUUCCGAGAGGCAUGCCUGUUUGAGUGUCAUUAAAUUCUCAACCUCAAAGACUUAUUGUUGAUGAGGCUUGGAUGUGGAGGCUUUGUUGGCUCAUUUAGAGUCGGCUCCUCUUAAGUGCAUUAGUGGGAACUGUUUUGUAGUCCGCAUUGGUGUGAUAAUUAUCAGCGCUAUUGUUGGCUAUGAGCUCAUGUGGUGUUCGUAUGGAAAGUGCAUGAAAGUGCUCUCUCUGCUUCACUUUGACUUACAUGAGUAAAGUAUCUGCUUCAAACUGUCCUAAGUUAUUGGACAAACACUUGAUUAUUUUGACCUCAAAUCAGGUAGGACUACCCGCUGAACUUAAGCAUAUCAAUAAGCGGAGGAAAAGAAACUAACAAGGAUUCCCCUAGUAACUGCGAGUGAGGAGGGAAAAGCUCAAAUUUAAAAUCUGGCAGCUUCGCUGUCCGAGUUGUAAUUUAGAGAAGUGUUACCCGCGUUGGACCGUGUAUAAGUCUCCUGGAAUGGAGCGUCAUAGAGGGUGAGAAUCCCGUCUUUGACACGGACUACCAAAGCACUGUGGUGCGCUCUCGAAGAGUCGAGUUGUUUGGGAAUGCAGCUCUAAAUGGGUGGUAAAUUCCAUCUAAAGCUAAAUAUUGGCGAGAGACCGAUAGCGAACAAGUACCGUGAGGGAAAGAUGAAAAGAACUUUGGAAAGAGAGUUAAACAGUACGUGAAAUUGCUGAAAGGGAAACGCUUGAAGUCAGUCGCGUUGGCCGGGGAUCAGCCUUGCUUUUGUGAGGUGUACUUCCUGGUCAACGGGUCAGCAUCAGUUUCGACCAUUGGAGAAAGGCUUGGGGAAUGUGGCACCUCCGGGUGUGCUAUAGCCCCUUGUUGUAUACAGUGGUUGGGACUGAGGAACUCAGCACGCCGAAAGGCCGGGUU